This 19-nucleotide unclassified non-coding RNA is filed under the name Mus musculus (house mouse). RNAcentral describes it as "oocyte_clustered_small_RNA14345". Lineage: Eukaryota; Metazoa; Chordata; Mammalia; Rodentia; Muridae. The record is from RNAcentral.
UGAGAAGGGCCUUUCCACU